CGCGAUUCGCCCUUCGGGGUGCAGCAGGCGCGAAAACUCUACAAUGCAGGCAACUGCGAUAGGGGAACAUCGAGUGAUCCUCAUAUUGGGGGUCUGUCCACCCGCCUAAAAAGCGGGUGUUAGCAAGGGCCGGGCAAGACCGGUGCCAGCCGCCGCGGUAAUACCGGCGGCUCGAGUGGUGGCCGAUAUUAUUGAGUCUAAAGGGUCCGUAGCCGGCUUUGCAAGUCUCUCGGGAAAUCCAGCGGCUUAACCGUUGGUCGUCCGGGGGGUACUACAUUGCUUGGGACUGGGAGAGGUAGGAGGUACUCAGGGGGUAGGAGUGAAAUCCUGUAAUCCUUUGGGGACCACCGGUGGCGAAGGCGUCCUACCAGAACAGGUCCGACGGUGAGGGACGAAAGCUAGGGGCACGAACCGGAUUAGAUACCCGGGUAGUCCUAGCCGUAAACGAUGCUCGCUAGGUGUCACAACAGUCGUGAACUGUUGUGGUGCCGUAGGGAAGCCGUGAAGCGAGCCACUUGGGAAGUACGACCGCAAGGUUGAAACUUAAAGGAAUUGGCGGGGGAGCAC
This 567-nucleotide ribosomal RNA is filed under the name uncultured archaeon. RNAcentral's name for it is "bacterial SSU rRNA". It matches the Rfam family "Archaeal small subunit ribosomal RNA", at positions 312 to 879 of the family's 1478-position model. The record is from RNAcentral.